CAUGCACAUCAUCUGACAGUUAUUGGUAACAUGCACACCGAUGCAUAGGUAACUCUUUACCCAGAUGCUUCUCUAAAUAUAUUGCAGUGACUUGGUCUCUAAGUCAUAUAGGCUCACCUAACAGUUAUUGUCCAUAGUCUUUAGUUAAGCCCGACCCACCAUUCACAAGCAGGUACAAAACCGUCAUUGGGUCCCUCACCUAAUAGUUAUUAGGUCCAACCCCAUCUUUAUCUUGG
This 236-nucleotide long non-coding RNA is filed under the name Elaeis guineensis (African oil palm). RNAcentral's name for it is "long non-coding RNA (EGUI_LNC076118)". The record is from RNAcentral. Lineage: Eukaryota; Viridiplantae; Streptophyta; Magnoliopsida; Arecales; Arecaceae.